RNAcentral lists this non-coding RNA (26 nucleotides) under Homo sapiens (human). Lineage: Eukaryota; Metazoa; Chordata; Mammalia; Primates; Hominidae. The record is from RNAcentral.
GAAGAUGAUCAACGUGCAGCGUCUGC